Molecule: ribosomal RNA, 719 nt
Filed under: Bartalinia pondoensis
Lineage: Eukaryota; Fungi; Ascomycota; Sordariomycetes; Amphisphaeriales; Sporocadaceae
Description: partial 18S ribosomal RNA
Rfam family: 5.8S ribosomal RNA (bases 360-513)
Source: RNAcentral
CACCGCCCGUCGCUACUACCGAUUGAAUGGCUCAGUGAGGCUUCCGGACUGGCCCAGGGAGGUCGGCAACGACCACCCAGGGCCGGAAAGCUAUCCAAACUCGGUCAUUUAGAGGAAGUAAAAGUCGUAACAAGGUCUCCGUUGGUGAACCAGCGGAGGGAUCAUUACAGAGUUAUCUAACUCCCAAACCCAUGUGAACUUACCUUUGUUGCCUCGGCAGUAGUUGCUGGGCGAGCCUACCCGGGAACGAGCUACCCUGUAGCGAGUUACCCUGGAACGACUUACCCUGUACGCCUGCCGGUGGACUACUAAACUCUUGUUAUUUUUAAGAAUCUGAGCGUCUUAUUUUAAUAAGUCAAAACUUUCAACAACGGAUCUCUUGGUUCUGGCAUCGAUGAAGAACGCAGCGAAAUGCGAUAAGUAAUGUGAAUUGCAGAAUUCAGUGAAUCAUCGAAUCUUUGAACGCACAUUGCGCCCAUUAGUAUUCUAGUGGGCAUGCCUGUUCGAGCGUCAUUUCAACCCUUAAGCCUAGCUUAGUAUUGGGAAUCGACUUUACUGUCGUUCCUCAAAUUCAACGGCGGAUUUAUAGCAAUCUCUGAACGUAGUAAUUUUUUUCCUCGUUUUUGAAAUACUAUAAACCUCAGCCGCUAAACCCCCAAUUUUUUUAUGGUUGACCUCGGAUCAGGUAGGAAUACCCGCUGAACUUAAGCAUAUCAAUA